GCAGGUCACCCUAUCGUUCUGACUUUUGUCAGGAAGGAAAGUCCGGACACCAUAGCGCGGCAUAGCGGUUAACGACCGUCCGUUGAAAAACGAGGACCAGUGCAACAGAAAGAAUGUACAGGUAAUGCUGUAGUGAAAUCAGGUAAACUCUAUGCGGUGAAACGCCAUGUAAACCGGCACUCGAGGAUUGCGCAUCCGACGUCGGAGGGUAGGCGGCUAGAUCUUGUUAGUAAUAGCAAGGCCAGAUAAAUGAUAGGGACCCCUAACGGGGCACAGAAUCCGGCUUAUGACCUGCUUUU
This 299-nucleotide RNase P RNA is filed under the name Robertkochia marina. Its description in RNAcentral is "Bacterial RNase P class A". It matches the Rfam family "Bacterial RNase P class A". From Rfam's summary of the family: Ribonuclease P (RNase P) is a ubiquitous endoribonuclease, found in archaea, bacteria and eukarya as well as chloroplasts and mitochondria. Its best characterised activity is the generation of mature 5'-ends of tRNAs by cleaving the 5'-leader elements of precursor-tRNAs. The record is from Rfam by way of RNAcentral. Lineage: Bacteria; Pseudomonadati; Bacteroidota; Flavobacteriia; Flavobacteriales; Flavobacteriaceae.